UGCCAGCCGCCGCGGUAAGACGAACCGGCCAAACGUUAUUCGGAAUCACUGGGCUUAAAGGGUGCGUAGGCGGUGCGGUAAGUUGGGUGUGAAAUCCCUCGGCUCAACCGAGGAACUGCGCCCAAUACUGCCGUGCUUGAGGGAGACAGAGGCGAGCGGAACUGAUGGUGGAGCGGUGAAAUGCGUUGAUAUCAUCAGGAACACCAGUGGCGAAGGCGACCAUCUGGGACGGAACUGACGCUGAUGAACGAAAGCUAGGGUAUCAAACAGGAUUAGAUA
RNAcentral lists this ribosomal RNA (279 nucleotides) under uncultured bacterium. RNAcentral's name for it is "partial 16S ribosomal RNA". It matches the Rfam family "Bacterial small subunit ribosomal RNA", at positions 506 to 784 of the family's 1533-position model. The record is from RNAcentral.